Long non-coding RNA from Lemur catta (Ring-tailed lemur), 1686 nucleotides. RefSeq lists it as uncharacterized. The transcript is spliced from 3 exons. NCBI's taxonomy places the organism in Eukaryota, Metazoa, Chordata, Mammalia, Primates, Lemuridae. The record is from RefSeq and is a predicted model, not a curated record.
UCCGCACACCGCAUCCCGGCACUUUAAGACGUGCACGUGUGUUCAGUCGCUGCCAUUGGUCGUCGGUUCCGAGAAUGCACGCGUCUUUUUAGGGGUAAAGUAUAAAAAAGUAAGAAUAACUUUUUUCCUGACAAGUAAAUAUGACGUGGGGCAUCGCUUCAAGAGAGCUGUCAUUGGGAUUGGAGAGACUGGGUUAUCUAGCUGUUCGGCCCAGUGAGCUAAGCAAGCCACCUGCCCAAGGCUGCCACACAGCUCUGUUCCGACGCCAGCCUUCGGCCAUGGCUCGCCAGCCUCGCUUCAGGGUCAGUCGGGAGAGGUCUCCAGCCGCACCUGUGCUGGGGAGAGACUUACCAAGCUACCUAUCCUGGGGAACGGGCUUCCAAGGAAUAUAGGAUGAAAACACUCAGGACAAGUCCACAGGUAAGGAGGUGUGUGUUGAACCAUAGGCCCAGUCCUGGGUGUCUUACUGGCUGGUUAGUAGGAGCAGCCUUUUGAUGAUUCCUGAAAUUCUACCAGAGCUGCCAACUUCAGGGAAGAGAUGCAUUUACUCAUCCUCUCCUUUGUAAAUGAUACAGACUUUUCUUUCUCCCCAUCCAUCAUUUUACGAGGAGCCACUGGAGCAUGGCGCACACACCAAGGGGCGGCAACAGUGCAGGGCAGACGAGAGUUUGUGGGUCCGGCCAUCUCUUACUGUCUCCAGCACCUGAACCCUCUAACUCUCAAUUUCCUCGUCUCUGAAAUGAGCAGAAUGUCCAUGCUGAGACUGCUGAGAGGAUGGGAGGUAAGCGCUGUGUGUGUAUGGAGGCACGGUUUAGUGCAUAUCUUGCUUAAAACCUGCCAUGCUCCUGCUUCACUGAGAACAAAUCUAAAGUCCUUCCCACGGCCUGUGAGGCUGGAUGCACUCGGGCACCCACCUCUCUUCAUCUUGCACCUCUCGCCAUGCUCCAGGCACGCCGAUCUCCUUUCUGCUCUGCAGAUGCCCCCAGCUCGUCCCACGUCUGUGUUUUUGCACUUGCUUGUCCCCACACCUGGCAUCCUCUUGCUCCAGAGCCUCAGGUCGUCCAGGUCCAAGUGAGGCCUGGUCUGAGCACCCCGUGCCCAGGACAGUUGCAGAUACUUCCUCUCAUCACUGUCAGCACCCGCUAGCAAGAUCUCGUUCAUUUACUCACGUGUUUAUGGGGGCAGGAAAUGUGUCUGGCUCUUAGCCAGUGUGUGUUCAGACGUUCGAUGGAUGGGUGAGUGUGUGAUAAUUCUCGGUGAUGCCGGAGCAUGCUACAGACCCAUUAAUGGGAACUUCUGCCCACUCCCUCCCGGGAAUCUCCCCAAUGCCCAGAUCUUUCUUUCUCCAGUGUUUCCCCAUUCCCCAGACAUCAGGCCGUGUUUUGGGGUUGGACCCAGCCUGAUCUAGAAGGAAAACUCCUGAUUAGGCCUCCUCACACGUGACUUGGCUUCCCCUCACCCAGAGACAGUGACACUCAUCUUCUUUAGUGACAUGAAGCUGCUCUGACCCGAGCUCAGCGUCCACUUUUGGCCUAGUCACGUCACCCCUGGGUACCGGCGUCAGGCAGCCCCUCCUGUGCAAGGCAGGAAUCGGGCUGGGUUGGGACUGGGGUUGGGUUGGGGUCUGUUACUCUUGAACAAUUAAUGUACUUUGAGUGAAGCGGCGUAAAUAAAGAGACACGGCCA